GACGAACGCUGGCGGCGUGCCUAACACAUGCAAGUCGAGCGGGGUUACUGGGGUUCAGCUUGCUGAACGCCACUGACCCAGCGGCGGACGGGUGAGUAACGCGUGAGCAAUCUGCCUCAUACAGGGGGAUAACAGGCGGAAACGCCUGCUAAUACCGCAUAAGACCACGCCACCGCAUGGUGGAGUGGUCAAAGGGUGCACAGACGAGAGGCUGUGCAUACCGGUAUGAGAUGAGCUCGCGUCCCAUUAGCUUGUUGGUGAGGUAACGGCUCACCAAGGCGACGAUGGGUAGCCGACCUGAGAGGGUGAUCGGCCACACUGGGACUGAGACACGGCCCAGACUCCUACGGGAGGCAGCAGUGGGGAAUAUUGCGCAAUGGGGGGAACCCUGACGCAGCAACGCCGCGUGAGCGAAGAAGCCUUCGGGUCGUAAAGCUCUGUCAUAGGGGAAGAGGAGAAGACGGUACCCUAUGAGGAAGCCCCGGCUAACUACGUGCCAGCAGCCCGCGGUAAUACGUAGGGGGCGAGCGUUGUCCGGAAUUACUGGCGUAAAGGGUGCGUAGGCGGCCUGAUAAGUCAGAUGUGAAAUACCAGGGCUCACCCUGGGGGUGCAUUUGAAACUG
Molecule: ribosomal RNA, 623 nt
Filed under: uncultured bacterium
Lineage: Bacteria
Description: bacterial SSU rRNA
Rfam family: Bacterial small subunit ribosomal RNA
Source: RNAcentral